ACACAAAUUAACUCAUAUAUACUUGGGAUUGGCCAAGAGUUUCUACGAGCUGCCGUAAACAGCUCGCUAUGAGGGAUAAUAUAA
This 84-nucleotide non-coding RNA is filed under the name uncultured Cetobacterium sp. RNAcentral's name for it is "Purine riboswitch". It matches the Rfam family "Purine riboswitch aptamer", at positions 13 to 97 of the family's 102-position model. Rfam says of the family: Riboswitches are metabolite binding domains within certain messenger RNAs that serve as precision sensors for their corresponding targets. Allosteric rearrangement of mRNA structure is mediated by ligand binding, and this results in modulation of gene expression. A class of riboswitches that selectively recognises guanine and becomes saturated at concentrations as low as 5 nM. The record is from RNAcentral. Lineage: Bacteria; Fusobacteriati; Fusobacteriota; Fusobacteriia; Fusobacteriales; Fusobacteriaceae.